AUUAGCCCUAAAUGGCACUUUUGAAAUUAACUUUAUUUUCUUUCUUCCGGUCUUUUUCAUUAGGGAAAAGGAAGGAGAGGAAGAUCAGGGGUCAGGGGCAGCCGAAAACUGAGAAAAAGAGAGCGACACAGCAGCUGACGAAAACUUCUGCAACGGAGGAACUGAGUCGAACAGUUACCGGACGGAGAUUGAAGUCACUGGAGGUCCUUCCGCCCAGUUAGGAGUGGCGUUCAGUUGACGGAGUACGUCAGUUUUUUCGAGCAGUUUGACAGCGGCUUGGUGGCUGGUCUCGAGCGGUGGCGGUCUUGGCCGUGGUUUCGAGCCGUCAGAGUUGAGUUUAGCCGUUGGGUGUUAUUCUGCCGUUGGUUCUUCUUAGGUUUGCAGUGGGUUGUUCCACACGUGGAUCUCCGGUCAGUGGUGGUUUUCGGUUAACUAGGAAUGGCCUAUCAAGUUACUUGAAGUUCAACCUGUCAUCAUGAGCUUAAUCUUCCUCUCUUUUGAUCUUCCCUUCCCGUUUGCUACUAUAGUUGAAUCUAAUGUUAGGGACGUGGUGAAUCUGGUUAACAAUGCUUGUCAGAUUUUACUGAGGUUAAGAAUACUGUCGAUGAAAUUUGUGUCGGAUACUGUGCCUUCUUGUGUGUAACAAAGUUACUCAUUAUGUAAUCUGCCAUGCUCCAAUUUGGAAGAUGUUGAGCAAAGUUGGGUUGUCGUAGUGACGUUCUGAUUUGGGUUUUGGAUGUAAUUAAUGUUUACCUUGUUUCCUUUGCC
RNA transcript from Cucumis melo (muskmelon), 768 nucleotides. RefSeq lists it as uncharacterized. The transcript is spliced from 2 exons. The record is from RefSeq and is a predicted model, not a curated record. Lineage: Eukaryota; Viridiplantae; Streptophyta; Magnoliopsida; Cucurbitales; Cucurbitaceae.